Molecule: ribosomal RNA, 292 nt
Filed under: uncultured microorganism
Description: partial 16S ribosomal RNA
Rfam family: Bacterial small subunit ribosomal RNA
Source: RNAcentral
GUGCCAGCAGCCGCGGUAAUACGUAGGGUGCGAGCGUUGUCCGGAUUUAUUGGGCGUAAAGAGCUCGUAGGCGGUUUGUCGCGUCGGCCGUGAAAACCUGCCGCUUAACGGUGGGCGUGCGAUCGAUACGGGCAGACUGGAGUUCGGCAGGGGAGACUGGAAUUCCUGGUGUAGCGGUGAAAUGCGCAGAUAUCAGGAGGAACACCGGUGGCGAAGGCGGGUCUCUGGGCCGAUACUGACGCUGAGGAGCGAAAGCGUGGGGAGCGAACAGGAUUAGAUACCCUGGUAGUCC